UACGAAGGGGGCUAGCGUUGUUCGGAAUCACUGGGCGUAAAGGGCGCGUAGGCGGCUUUAUAAGUCGGGGGUGAAAGCCUGUGGCUCAACCACAGAAUUGCCUUCGAUACUGUAGAGCUUAAGACCGGAAGAGGUAAGUGGAACUGCGAGUGUAGAGGUGAAAUUCGUAGAUAUUCGCAAGAACACCAGUGGCGAAGGCGGCUUACUGGUCCGGUUCUGACGCUGAGGCGCGAAAGCGUGGGGAGCAAACAGG
RNAcentral lists this ribosomal RNA (253 nucleotides) under uncultured bacterium. RNAcentral describes it as "partial 16S ribosomal RNA". It matches the Rfam family "Bacterial small subunit ribosomal RNA", at positions 524 to 776 of the family's 1533-position model. The record is from RNAcentral.